Molecule: ribosomal RNA, 465 nt
Filed under: Vreelandella stevensii
Lineage: Bacteria; Pseudomonadati; Pseudomonadota; Gammaproteobacteria; Oceanospirillales; Halomonadaceae
Description: partial 16S ribosomal RNA
Rfam family: Bacterial small subunit ribosomal RNA
Source: RNAcentral
CCUACGGGCGGCUGCAGUGGGGAAUAUUGGACAAUGGGCGAAAGCCUGAUCCAGCCAUGCCGCGUGUGUGAAGAAGGCCUUCGGGUUGUAAAGCACUUUCAGUGGGGAAGAAAGCCUUGGGGCUAAUACCCUCGAGGAAGGACAUCACCCACAGAAGAAGCACCGGCUAACUCCGUGCCAGCAGCCGCGGUAAUACGGAGGGUGCGAGCGUUAAUCGGAAUUACUGGGCGUAAAGCGCGCGUAGGCGGUCUGAUAAGCCGGUUGUGAAAGCCCCGGGCUCAACCUGGGAACGGCAUCCGGAACUGUCAGGCUAGAGUGCAGGAGAGGAAGGUAGAAUUCCCGGUGUAGCGGUGAAAUGCGUAGAGAUCGGGAGGAAUACCAGUGGCGAAGGCGGCCUUCUGGACUGACCCUGACGCUGAGGUGCGAAAGCGUGGGUAGCAAACAGGAUUAGAUACCCUUGUAGUC